UCGCUUCACCAUAGUUCUCUUAAUCCUCCUGCAUGGCACUGUUGCUGGGGAAGGCACUUUGUUACCUACACAUGGGAACUCAGUGCCAGAUGAGACAGGUGAGGGUGUACAAGAUGUCAGCACAGCCUUGACUAAUAUCAAACAGGACUUAAGUGGGACCCACGACCCUCUGGAGCUGGAGCCGAGACAGGAUGUUCUGGACUGCCAUCAGGUGGCUCUGCUUGGUGCCUGAAUCACCCUGUUUGUCAAUACUUGGGAAGGAGAGCCGUGAGUAAUUAUGUUCUGUUCUUACAAACAUCGCUGGUUGUGUUACGAUCUCUCUGACGGUCUGUCUCCUGCAUGAGGAGGCAGUAUGAGAGAAAGCAGUUGUUUUUCAAUCCAAUUUCCUUAUAAUGAUUUUGCCUUCUAUAUCUUAAACGGUUACGCUAUUAAAUUGCAUUUAAUAGUCAGUUCCAAUCCUUCAGGGUUACCUGGAAUUCUUCCUACAGACAGCAGGAUUUGUAACCGUUCAGGAUCUUACAGCACUUAGAAGCACCAAGCUGUGGUUCGUGACCUUUUCGUAGUGUGUGGUGUUGCUGGAGGUGGUUGGCGAUGCUCUAGCAGAGGACAAGGGCCUUGGGAGAUGGAUGUUGUGAGAAAUCCUCGCUGGCCACUGAACACCCUGGCCGCCUGUGCUGCUUCUUCCCAGGUCCCAGGAAUCGCAACAGCAACAUGACAUCACGUUUCUUUGGGCAUGUGUAUCCAGGCUUGCCAAUAAGCUGUGCCAAGUAUGCUCCACGUAGGCAGUCACUGAACUAAAUGAUGGUACUAUGAGCAGGAGAGCUGAUACACUGGAGUAGCUGAAGCCAGCAGCCUUGCCUGUUUGAAGGUGAAAAGCUUGAAGAAUAAAGGAGCAGAGGUGAUAAAAACUGACAAAAGACUUGCUUG
This is a long non-coding RNA of Cygnus olor (mute swan), 927 nucleotides long. RefSeq lists it as uncharacterized. The transcript has 3 exons. NCBI's taxonomy places the organism in Eukaryota, Metazoa, Chordata, Aves, Anseriformes, Anatidae. The record is from RefSeq and is a predicted model, not a curated record.